AACGUAGGUACCGAGCGUUAUCCGGAUUUACUGGGCGUAAAGCGUGUUCAGGCGGUCUGUCAAGUCGGGCAUGAAAGCUCCCGGCUCAACCGGGAGAGGUUGUCCGAUACUGGCAGACUUGAGGGCAGUAGAGGGUGGUGGAAUUCCGGGUGUAGUGGUGAAAUGCGUAGAUAUCCGGAGGAACACCAGUGGCGAAAGCGGCCACCUGGACUGCACCUGACGCUCAAACACGAAAGCUAGGGGAGCGAAC
Molecule: ribosomal RNA, 250 nt
Filed under: uncultured bacterium
Lineage: Bacteria
Description: partial 16S ribosomal RNA
Rfam family: Bacterial small subunit ribosomal RNA
Source: RNAcentral